UUCGCUUCUCGGCCUUUUGGCUAAGAUCAAAGUGUAGUAUCUGUUCUUAUCAGCUUAAUUUUAAAGAAUAGUCAACGAUUAUAUAAAUAUUUUUAGGUAAUUUUCCGUGUCCACCCGCA
Molecule: small nuclear RNA, 119 nt
Filed under: Diaphorina citri (Asian citrus psyllid)
Lineage: Eukaryota; Metazoa; Arthropoda; Insecta; Hemiptera; Psyllidae
Description: U2 spliceosomal RNA
Rfam family: U2 spliceosomal RNA
About the family: U2 is a small nuclear RNA (snRNA) component of the spliceosome (involved in pre-mRNA splicing). Complementary binding between U2 snRNA (in an area lying towards the 5' end but 3' to hairpin I) and the branchpoint sequence (BPS) of the intron results the bulging out of an unpaired adenosine, on the BPS, which initiates a nucleophilic attack at the intronic 5' splice site, thus starting the first of two transesterification reactions that mediate splicing.
Source: Rfam by way of RNAcentral